Molecule: long non-coding RNA, 276 nt
Filed under: Gossypium barbadense (sea-island cotton)
Lineage: Eukaryota; Viridiplantae; Streptophyta; Magnoliopsida; Malvales; Malvaceae
Description: long non-coding RNA (GBAR_LNC003787)
Source: RNAcentral
AGGAAUCCAUACAAAUAAAGUUUGAGUCCUAAUUCUUAAUACAAAAUUUAUGGUGAAUUUCUAAAGUCAGAAUAGAGAAUUUAGAAAUUGCUCUAACCCUGUUUCAGAAAAACGUAAAUAUCUCAUAAAAUACAACGCUUUUACCUAUUUUGUUUCUUCCAUAUAAAAAUAGAUUCAUUAAGCUUCAAUUACAUAUUUUAUUCAUCAUCUAAUUCACUUUAUACUAUUUUUGGUAUAUUUUCAAAGUUGGACUACUGUUACUGUCCAAAUCUGUUU